This 267-nucleotide ribosomal RNA is filed under the name uncultured bacterium. Its description in RNAcentral is "partial 16S ribosomal RNA". It matches the Rfam family "Bacterial small subunit ribosomal RNA", at positions 524 to 786 of the family's 1533-position model. The record is from RNAcentral.
UACAGAGGUCCCAAGCGUUGUUCGGAUUCACUGGGCGUAAAGGGUGCGUAGGUGGCUUGGUAAGUUUGAUGUGAAAUCUCCGGGCUUAACCCGGAAAUGGCAUUGAAUACUAUUGAGCUGGAGGUUUGGAGGGGGGGACUGGAAUUCUCGGUGUAGCAGUGAAAUGCGUAGAUAUCAAGUGGAACACCAGUGGCGAAGGCGAGUCCCUGGACAAACUCCGUGACACUGGAGGCACGAAAGCUAGGGGAGCAAACAGGAUUAGACUAC